GAUGAACGCUGGCGGCGUGCCUAAUACAUGCAAGUCGAGCGAACGGACGAGAAGCUUGCUUCUCUGAUGUUAGCGGCGGACGGGUGAGUAACACGUGGAUAACCUACCUAUAAGACUGGGAUAACUUCGGGAAACCGGAGCUAAUACCGGAUAAUAUUUUGAACCGCAUGGUUCAAAAGUGAAAGACGGUCUUGCUGUCACUUAUAGAUGGAUCCGCGCUGCAUUAGCUAGUUGGUAAGGUAACGGCUUACCAAGGCAACGAUGCAUAGCCGACCUGAGAGGGUGAGCGGCCACACUGGAACUGAGACCCGGUCCAGACUCCUACGGGAAGCAGCAGUAGGGAAUCUUCCGCAAAGGGCGAAAGCCUGACGGAGCAACGCCGCGUGAGUGAUGAAGGUCUUCGGAUCGUAAAACUCUGUUAUUAGGGAAGAACAUAUGUGUAAGUAACUGUGCACAUCUUGACGGUACCUAAUCAGAAAGCCACGGCUAACUACGUG
Molecule: ribosomal RNA, 497 nt
Filed under: uncultured bacterium
Lineage: Bacteria
Description: partial 16S ribosomal RNA
Rfam family: Bacterial small subunit ribosomal RNA
Source: RNAcentral